Non-coding RNA from Durotheca rogersii, 130 nucleotides. Lineage: Eukaryota; Fungi; Ascomycota; Sordariomycetes; Xylariales; Xylariaceae. The record is from the annotation of a RefSeq genome assembly.
GCCCGGUUAGCUCAAUCGGUAGAGCGUGAGACUCUUAAUCUCAAGGUUGCGGGUAAGUUCGCUAUGAAAUUCAGCCGCUUAUCCGUUAGCCGGAUACUAACGGUCGCAGGUUCGACCCCCGCAUCGGGCU